CAUUUUAAAAAUAUUAAUGAAAAUGCCCAAAAACCAAGAAAAGCAAAACUCCUCAGACACUUGAGUCAGCUUCCUUCAACCCACCGAGUAAAACAGACCCAACAAACAACCCAGCUGCAACAACUGCAAUCUCCAGCUUGCAUCGCCACCAACCCCACCAAAUCAUCCGGUAUUACCACGAUCGCUGCCAGCGCCUAUGGGAAGCCCAGCUGAAGCCAGAGUCGACGGGGAGACACUGGCUGUCUUCUCCAACAGACUCUAACAGCCCCAACUCCUCAGCUCUCGAAAACACACCCAAAUUCUCUAUUGAUAAGAGUGUGGAUCCCAGCUCUUCCGCCUUGGAGAGUAGUCCUGCCUUUUCUACGUUGCUAGGUACUUUGCGCUUCUCCAGAUUCUUAACAAAUCAUAUUCCAAUUCUUCAGUACUUUCUUAGAAGAUUCCAGCACCAUGUAUCAUUUUUUCCCCAACCAUCAUCGUACUUGUUCACCUGUAUCAAUUACAUAGAGAUCAAUUGCAUUUUCA
RNAcentral lists this unclassified non-coding RNA (522 nucleotides) under Hevea brasiliensis (rubber tree). Lineage: Eukaryota; Viridiplantae; Streptophyta; Magnoliopsida; Malpighiales; Euphorbiaceae. The record is from RNAcentral.